RNAcentral lists this non-coding RNA (45 nucleotides) under Trichobilharzia regenti. The record is from RNAcentral. Lineage: Eukaryota; Metazoa; Platyhelminthes; Trematoda; Strigeidida; Schistosomatidae.
AUUCAUCUGACGACUCCCAAGUAGGAGGAAAUGCGCAUCCUGAAU